UCUUGGUCAUUUAGAGGNAGUAAAAGUCGUAACAAGGUCUCCGUUGGUGAACCAGCGGAGGGAUCAUUACCGAGUUUACAACUCCCAAACCCCUGUGAACAUACCUUUAUGUUGCCUCGGCGGAUCAGCCCGCGCCCCGUAAAACGGGACGGCCCGCCGCAGGAACCACAAAACUCUGAUUUUAGUGUAACUUCUGAGUCUAAAAAACAAAUAAAUCAAAACUUUCAACAACGGAUCUCUUGGUUCUGGCAUCGAUGAAGAACGCAGCAAAAUGCGAUAAGUAAUGUGAAUUGCAGAAUUCAGUGAAUCAUCGAAUCUUUGAACGCACAUUGCGCCCGCCAGUAUUCUGGCGGGCAUGCCUGUUCGAGCGUCAUUUCAACCCUCAAGCCCCCGGGUUUGGUGUUNGGGGAUCGGGCUGUACUCCAGCCCGGCCCCGAAAUCUAGUGGCGGUCUCGCUGCAGCCUCCAUUGCGUAGUAGCUAACACCUCGCAACUGGAACGCGGCGCGGCCAAGCCGUUAAACCCCCAACUUCUGAAUGUUGACCUCGGAUCAGGUAGGAAUACCCGCUGAACUUAAGCAUAUCAAUAAGCGGANG
Molecule: ribosomal RNA, 595 nt
Filed under: uncultured fungus
Lineage: Eukaryota; Fungi
Description: eukaryotic LSU rRNA
Rfam family: 5.8S ribosomal RNA (bases 220-373)
Source: RNAcentral